UCUGAUUCAGGUCUCUUCAUGAGAAAUCACAACCCACUGUGAAAACUAUUUCUGUAUUGGAGAAUGGAUCUAACAGCAAGACUGGCACCGUGAGGAUAAGGGCCAGAAAAGGCGGAGGUGACUGACUUAUUGUUAGUGCUGUGAGUCACUGUUGAAAGUCAAGGCCAGCAUUUUGUCUGGGGAAAGUGUUUUCCUUCAGGACAGGGGGCAAAGAGGAGCUGACUUUAUUGCUGCAUCUUGCAACAGCUGCAUAGCUAGGAGUAGGGUUAGAGGCAGCCAGGUGAAAUACCCCAUUGCUGGUUCUGUGAGUGCUAGAAAUCUCUGUGGUGCAAUUCAAACUGAGCUGGAGUGAGAAGGAGGGCCCAGGGUACUACAACAAGCCUAGAGGACAAUGGGCUACUAAAUCAAUACAGUCAGACUUGGUGCCAGACACACGGAGGCUGAUGGCAGGGGCUCGGUGGAGCCAGUCGUCACAGAGGAAGACUCGGGAGGAACCUUGUCUCCAGAGAUAUAACCCUCUCUGUCACAGAGGACAAACGACCCAGCUGAAGGAGAAUGGCUUUAUCAUCUGGUGCAGACAACAGGCCAAGUGUUUCAGAAACUGCUUCAUAAGUGGCUCAGCUGUCUGGGCAGUGAUGACCGUCACAGGAGAUGGUGAGAGAAGGCCAGUCCACCAGGAUCACGACAAAGGGACCUAAACCAGGAGAAAGGUGGUGUUAAGAUCUGGGGGGAGCAGAACUAGGUAAAUACCAAUGCUUCCCAGGCAACACUUUUUGGCAAGCUGCUCACGGUUAUGGGUACAUGAUUGAAAGUGAAUGAGUUAACACAUUUAUAGGAGUCACCAUCCCUUGGCAGGAAGUUAUUAUCCUUCAACCGAGGAACAGUGGCUGUGUGUGUUCUGUUUUAUUGUGGCAUUCAGGACAAUAGGUUAGUUUAAAUCAUCUUAAAGCAUGCUAUUUUGAUAACUUGCUUCUGUAGGAGCAAGCCCUGAUUUUGCAUCUUUUAAAAAUUAUUAUUGCUAUUAUUAUUGCUAUUAUUAUUGCUAUUAUUAUUGCUAUUAUUAUUAUUAUUAUCAAGGGAAUACAAACCAUUAUAAAGUUUUACAAGGCCUCUUUUGAGAGGAGAUGUCCCACUGAUUCUCAUAAGGACUUUGACUGGUUGGCCUUGUUUGAAGAACUAAACCCCAGUUUAGAGGCUUUCAAAUUCAAGACAAUUUGAAUUAACCUCAAAGAUCUAGUAAGACAGAAGCUCUUUUUAAUGGGACAUUUCAUUAUUAUGUAAUUCUAAAGUAUUUGAAGAGAUUUCAUAGAAAAAAAUAGAAAAAUGUAAAUGAGUAAGUUUUUGAAUAGAAUGAAGAAAACUUCCCUGAGAAUGGUAAAGUUUUCUAUUGAGAAGAAUAUGAAAAUGAGGAUUUUAAAUAAAAAAAAUAGAAAAUUACCA
RNAcentral lists this long non-coding RNA (1440 nucleotides) under Anas platyrhynchos platyrhynchos (common mallard). Its description in RNAcentral is "lncRNA (ENSAPLG00000031148.1)". The record is from RNAcentral. Lineage: Eukaryota; Metazoa; Chordata; Aves; Anseriformes; Anatidae.